GCCGGGGUAGCUCAGCUGGUAGAGCGUCGGGCUGUUAACCCGAUGGUCGGGGGUUCAAGUCCCCUCCCCGGCGCCA
This 76-nucleotide transfer RNA is filed under the name Tiamatella sp. (SeqCode). RNAcentral describes it as "Candidatus Tiamatella sp. tRNA-Asn". It matches the Rfam family "tRNA". From Rfam's summary of the family: Transfer RNA (tRNA) molecules are approximately 80 nucleotides in length. The record is from RNAcentral. Lineage: Archaea; Thermoproteati; Thermoproteota; Thermoprotei; Acidilobales; Acidilobaceae.